This is a long non-coding RNA of Canis lupus familiaris (dog), 2503 nucleotides long. RefSeq lists it as uncharacterized. NCBI's taxonomy places the organism in Eukaryota, Metazoa, Chordata, Mammalia, Carnivora, Canidae. The record is from RefSeq and is a predicted model, not a curated record. The transcript has 3 exons.
GUAACCCUAACCCCAGCAGUGAUUGAAACAGAUAGAGUGGUGGCUCUCCCACACAAUGCCCUGGCCCCCACUUCUCUCCUCCUCCUCCUCCUUGCACUUCCUCAAGAGCUUUUGUCUUCUGGUCCCUUGGGCUGUGAGGCUCUCUCAUUCCCGGCAAACAAUGCCCAUUAAAUUUAAAAUUGAGGCCUCUGGGGAAAGGGUCUGGCACUUUCUCUCCCACUAGCUAGUCCCUGUCCUCAUCUACCUGGGGAGCAGAUAAGCCUCCCUGUAAGAAAAGGGGCAAGCUGCUGACUGCUUCAUAUCCGUCUCAGGUCCCCCUCCUCCCACCCGGCUCCAGGCACCCCAUCAGGGCUGCUAUUCCUCUCUGGGUAAGGUCUUGGCUGAGCCCCUGCACCGGUCAGUGAUCAGAAGCUGCAGGAAAUGUUCUGGAAGGAAUCAGGUUCGGCCUGGCUUUGAGGGCCCAUGUCUGUAUUGGACCAUUUUGUUCAGUCUCCCCAACUGGCUGGAAUUGUCCGUAUCCUCAGAAAUCGGGGAGGAUAUGAUGAUCUGGGGAUCACAUGGGGGUUCCUGGAAAAGGUGGGUGGCAAAGCUGUAGGUCUUGGAAAAUUUGCCAGAAUUACAUGAGACAGAGAGAGGAGGUAAGUGUUCAGAGCCUCUGGCUUUCCCUCAGAUCUGUAUUUCCAAAGGGAUUUGGUUAUCAUUCAGUAUUUUAGUCCUGAAUCUUUCUUAGACAUUGAUGAAAGCCAUGUACUUUCUACCCAGGAAAAUGUGUGAAUGCAAGCUGGCGCACACAUGUCCACAUGCACACACACACACACACACACACACACACACAUGGUCCAAGGGUUCGUGGACCCGUGGUUAAGGACUCUUAAAUUCUAUUAGGAGGUAGAAGUUUUGGCAUCUAAGAGAGAGCAGAGGAUGUUCUAGGUGGUACUGACAGGGAGAGUCCAUCUGAAGGAGUGGCUCUACUGUGAGCCAUUGGCUGAUUUGAAGGGCUUGUACCUAUUUCACAUACAGGAGCUCGAGAGUCCUUGCUACCAUUAACCCUGUUCUGGGCUUGGGGAGGGGAAGCCAGAAGGUAGAGAAGCUCUGGACACUUGUGUCCAGUGCUCAGCCAUGAGAGAUGUUUUGGAAUGGGUUGGGGGGGGGGGUGCUUAAACCUUGCACAUGCUAUGGCUAGGUACUGGCUAAGCAUUUUGACCAUCCAAAGCUCAUUCACUCUUCACAACCACCCUGAUAAAUCAGGACUACUUCUCUGUGCCACUGAUGAGGAUUAUGAGAUUUAGGGAGAUAAUUGGUCGAGGUCAGGCAGCUGGCGAGUGGCAGAGCAGGGACUGAAACCCGGUUGCAGUAGUCAGACUUGUUAUUGAAGACAUUUUUUCCAUCCUCUUCUCAUGGCUUCUGCACCAGCCGAGGGUGCAAGCAGGCCAGGUGCUGUUCUGCCAUUUCUGGCCUUCAUCCCCAUGGUUUUGGUGUGCCUACUGGGCUCUGCACUCCUCCUCCCAGCCUAUGCCAGGUUCCAGUCAACUUUUCACUCUCACGUGGUCUGUGCCUCACAUCUUCCCACGGUUACCACAAUCUGAAUUUCACUCCUUUAAGGCUGAGCUAAUUAGCAUCCUGCUUUCUCUAUGCCAUCUUCCCGACCAGACCCACUCACUCCUGUAGCAGGCCAUGGUGCCUGUCCUCUCCCACACUGAGCUCUAAAGUAGGGCUCAUCUUUCCCCUUCCCCCAGCCUGGCUUUGCUCUGGAUAAUGCUCCAUCUUUCCGUUUAGACUAGGACCUUUCCGUUGCAGGCCUGGUGUUCACUACACACGAGGCUUCAGGAUGCCUAGCCCAGCGUGCCACCUAAACCAGGCAUUCCAGAAGUUCCUCCUCCUGAUGGUGAUGACACCUGUGUUAACCAUACAGACAGGAAAACCCAACCCAGUGCUUUGGGAUGUUUCCAAGGGCUUCUUGCCUGGUCUGGCAGGUAGGCUUUCUCCCCCUAGCAGGCCCCAGCCUGCUCUAGUCCUCAGUCCAGUCGAGGGGUUGCAAUGGCUGUUAUCCAGUUCGCCAACCAGAGCUGUGCUGUGUGAAAGGGGCGGAAGAACCAAAAGACCAUGAGACAACACCGUGGCUUUUGAAACAGUUCUAGUCAAAGAGAUGUUGCUUGUUGGCACUCAGGAAUUAAGAGUCUACAAGAAGGUGGCCAGCCUCCCAAAUCCUGUGGUGGAGCUUACUGGGAGCACUUAUGACAACUUCCAGAACAGGGCCUCUCUGCUAUCUUUUGAAGAUUUGAAGGUAGAAAGGAUUGCCCAAGAACUCAGAAAGUCAAGAUGAAGAGACUGGUGAAGAAUGCCCUGCAUGUUACCACUACUGGACUAGUGCUUGUCAACCAAACCAAUUCAUAUCAUGCUUACUUUUGGGAAAGAGAAUCUAUAUAUUUUUUGCCUUCAUUAUUAAUUUUGUGAUCGGAGCCUCAUUUCCCAUGUAGUAGAUGGGGAGUUGCCUAGGAUGGGG